CUACGUGCCAGCAGCCGCGGUAAUACGUAGGGUGCGAGCGUUAAUCGGAAUUACUGGGCGUAAAGCGAGCGCAGACGGUCACUUAAGCAGGAUGUGAAAUCCCCGGGCUCAACCUGGGAACUGCGUUYUGAACUGGGUGACUAGAGUGUGUCAGAGGGAGGUAGAAUUCCACGUGUAGCAGUGAAAUGCGUAGAGAUGUGGAGGAAUACCGAUGGCGAAGGCAGCCUCCUGGGGUAACACUGACGUUCAUGCUCGAAAGCGUGGGUAGCAAACAGGAUUAGAUACCCUGGUAGUCCACGCCCUAAACGAUGUCAAUUAGCUGUUGGGCAACUUGAUUGCUUAGUAGCGUAGCUAACGCGUGAAAUUGACCGCCUGGGGAGUACGGUCGCAAGAUUAAAACUCAAAGGAAUUGACGGGGACCCGCACAAGCAGCGGAGCAUGUGGUUUAAUUCGAAGCAACGCGAAGAACCUUACCAAGACUUGACAUCC
RNAcentral lists this ribosomal RNA (489 nucleotides) under uncultured bacterium. Its description in RNAcentral is "bacterial SSU rRNA". It matches the Rfam family "Bacterial small subunit ribosomal RNA", at positions 501 to 989 of the family's 1533-position model. The record is from RNAcentral.